AGUUUAGUGAUGAAAAAUACUAAAUGAAUUCUGCCCAGUGUAGAAAAAUAAAUGGCCGCAGUACCCUGACUGUGCUAAGGUAGCAUAAUCAAUUGGUUUUUAAUUGAAGUCUGGAAUGAAAGAAAUAAUGAAGAAAUACUGUCUUAAAAAUACUGAUUUUAAUUUAUUUAAAAGGUGAAAAUACCUUUUUUAAAAAAAAAGACGAGAAGACCCUAAGAAUUUUAAUUAAAAUUUUUAAUGAUUAAUUUUUUGUUGGGGCGACAAAUUAGAAUAUUAAACCUAAUUUUUUAAACAGGCGAAUUUUUUAAGAAAUAAAAAAUUACCUUAGGGAUAACAGCAUAAUAUUAUAAAUGUUUGUGACCUCGAUGUUGGACUAGGAACUUUAUGGCUAGCAGUCAGAAGAGAUUUAUUCUGUUCGAAUAGUUUUAUCCU
RNAcentral lists this ribosomal RNA (432 nucleotides) under Bulinus globosus. RNAcentral's name for it is "partial large subunit ribosomal RNA". It matches the Rfam family "Bacterial large subunit ribosomal RNA", at positions 1829 to 2596 of the family's 2925-position model. The record is from RNAcentral. Lineage: Eukaryota; Metazoa; Mollusca; Gastropoda; Planorbidae.